AAUCAACGCUGGCGGCGUGCCUCAGACAUGCAAGUCGAACGCGAAAUUUCCCUUCGGGGAGAAAGUAGAGUGGCGCACGGGUGAGUAACACGUAGGUAAUUUGCCUUUGGGUGGGGAAUAACUCAGGGAAACUUGAGCUAAUACCGCAUAAUGCAGCGGCUCGACAUCGAGACAGUUGUUAAAGCGGGGGAGUUGGAGCAAUCCGACCUCGCGCCUAAAGAGAAGCCUGCGGCAGAUUAGCUAGUUGGUAAGGUAAUGGCUUACCAAGGCGACGAUCUGUAACCGGCCUGAGAGGGCGGUCGGUCACACUGACACUGACAUACGGGUCAGACUCCUACGGGAGGCAGCAGUCGGGAAGUUUU
This 362-nucleotide ribosomal RNA is filed under the name uncultured bacterium. RNAcentral describes it as "bacterial SSU rRNA". It matches the Rfam family "Bacterial small subunit ribosomal RNA", at positions 32 to 366 of the family's 1533-position model. The record is from RNAcentral.